This 789-nucleotide ribosomal RNA is filed under the name human gut metagenome. RNAcentral describes it as "bacterial SSU rRNA". It matches the Rfam family "Bacterial small subunit ribosomal RNA", at positions 378 to 1173 of the family's 1533-position model. The record is from RNAcentral.
AAACCCUGACGCAGCAACGCCGCGUGAACGAGACGCCCUUCGGGGUGUAAAGUUCUGUCAGUAGGGACGAAAAAAUGACGGUACCUACAGAGGAAGCACCGGCUAACUCCGUGCCAGCAGCCGCGGUAAUACGGAGGGUGCAAGCGUUGUCCGGAAUCAUUGGGCGUAAAGAGUUCGUAGGCGGUAUGUAAAGUCAGGUGUUAAAGGCAGGGGCUCAACUUCUGUACGGCACUUGAUACUUGCAAACUAGAAUGCGGUAGAGGUAAAGGGAAUUCCUGGUGUAGCGGUGAAAUGCUUAGAUAUCAGGAGGAACAUCGGUGGCGUAAGCGCUUUACUGGGCCGUAAUUGACGCUGAGGAACGAAAGCCAGGGUAGCAAAUGGGAUUAGAUACCCCAGUAGUCCUGGCCGUAAACGAUGGAUACUAGGUGUUGCGGGUAUCGACCCCUGCAGUGCCGAAGCAAACGCGAUAAGUAUCCCGCCUGGGGAGUACGCACGCAAGUGUGAAACUCAAAGGAAUUGACGGGGACCCGCACAAGCGGUGGAACAUGUGGUUUAAUUCGAAGCAACGCGAAAAACCUUACCAGGGCUUGACAUCUGACGAACCUCGAUGAAAGUUGAGGGUGCUCUUCGGAGAGCGUCAAGACAGGUGGUGCACGGUUGUCGUCAGCUCGUGUCGUGAGAUGUUGGGUUAAGUCCCGCAACGAGCGCAACCCUCGUCGUCAGUUGGUGUUAUUGGUAUACUGAUAAUAAUCUCUCUGGCGAGACUGCCGGUGAUAAACCGGAGGAAGG